Long non-coding RNA from Gigantopelta aegis, 1738 nucleotides. RefSeq lists it as uncharacterized. The transcript has 2 exons. NCBI's taxonomy places the organism in Eukaryota, Metazoa, Mollusca, Gastropoda, Neomphalida, Peltospiridae. The record is from RefSeq and is a predicted model, not a curated record.
GUACAGGAUUCGCAGGCCAGUACCAGCUUCAACCCAGAAGGAGUUCUUAAGGGUCCAAUGGGGAACGUGCCUAACAAAUUAGGUAUGACACUUGGUCUUUCUUUUUUUCUCUUUUUGUUGUUUUGGGUUUUUUUAUUUUUAGUUUAAUUUAGAUUUUUUAAGGUUGCUUGUUUUGGGGGAUUGGUGGUGGUGGUGGUGGUGGUGGGAUUGCUACAUUCACCUCUAUGGGUCAAGAUUAACUGUUAUGUAUAUACUCUUUUCACCUACAUAUAAUUAACAAAAAGAAAAAAAGAAAAUAAUAAUAAUCAAUAUAUCGAAAACAUUUUUUAGAGUCUGCAGUUUUUUCUAGGUGAGGUCGAGUUGCCAGAAAUUGGUUAUCUAGUGGACAUUAAAGCAGUGGUGUGAUCAGUAGACUGAGCGCCGGGAAAAUGUCUUCUGUUAUAUCCCAUUCAGUUAAACUUAGGCGCAAAAAACAACAAGAAAAGAAAAAACCCAGUCUAGCGAGCGUCCGUGAUCACUCGCCUUCCUUAACAUAACUCAGCUUUCUCAUGGUACCGUUGUGUGAUGUCGUGUAGUGGUUGCAUUUUUUCAAUUAUUUAGUUAUCAUUUUUACCUCCUCCCUCCACAUACCAAAUCUUUGUUAUACCAGUCGUUGGGCACUGGUUAGGACUGGAGAAGACCCAGUCAGACAAAGGGUCCAUGUUCAUCGAGGGGAUUAGAUCCUUCGAUCCAAGCACACCAGUAGACAACAUCAUGGCGAGUAUCGACAGCAGUAAAAGGAUUAUGGUUGUCCUGUCAAACAGCUUCUCACAGCGGGACUGGUGUCAGUUUGAACUAAACGUCGUCCAGAGACACGUGCUGGAGAAAGGUCAAGACUUGCUGGUCGUGGUGGUGCUGGAACAACUUAACAACUGUCACUUGACCCCCACGAUGUUCACUAUGCUGCAGACGACAACAUAUAUCACGUGGCCCGAUGACGUGGAUUCCGAAGAGGGAUUCUGGGACAAUUUAACUUUAGCUCUUCGAGGAGGGUGAUCUAAAAACAAAAAUAACAAAACAACAACUUCAGUGGAAUUCAUUCUGUAAGUCUGAACAAGUGUCUAGCUUGUACAGCUACAUUAAUUAUAAACUGAAUGAACAGAUUUGCUGUGUUUCAGGUUUGUGUGCGUCAUUUAACACAUGUAUGUAAUCUAAGGGAUGACAAUGGCUAUGUUUAUAACUGUUAUUGGACACUCGAGUUCCUCUGCACGCUGGAUUUCUUUUGGAUGGAUAUUUUUGCUCCUGGUGACCUUUAACGUGCACUGUAUGUACUUUCUUGUUCUGGUUAAUUUUAUCUUGGAUAAUACUUUAUAGUAUUAUGAAUAAUAUAAUUAUAUACUUCUGAAAAGACAAUAUUUCAAAACGUAUGACUGAAGUAUGUUUGGCAGACUUUGAAUACUAUUAAUAUAUGGGGAUUGGUCUGUGAUGCAAAUUAUUAAAAUACAGUAGAGAUUGACAUAUUUUCCUUGUAAUUCAUAAUACUGUUCUGUUCUGCUGGAUCUGUUCUGUUUUAUUGCCUAGUUUCAGAAUACCAAACAGUUUUCACAGUCAGUAGGACUCUAAACGUUCAUGGUUUUGUUGUGAUGCUAAUUCAAUAAUUCUUGUGAACAACUUUCAAUAUACAGUAGUUAGCCAUUUAUUGUGAUGUUAGUUCUUUGUGUGAAAACUUUCUAAUACAUAAAAUUAUGCAUUUAUUGUA